GGCAGUCUUGGGUGACACACCCAGGAAUCGGGCUCCCUCCUCUCUGGUUCUGGGUGUGUCACCUGAAAACUACA
Non-coding RNA from Myotis lucifugus (little brown bat), 74 nucleotides. The record is from Rfam. Lineage: Eukaryota; Metazoa; Chordata; Mammalia; Chiroptera; Vespertilionidae.